CGGUCUGCGGACAGGUGAAGUCCAUGAGUCGAUGAGUGCUAUGACACUUUGCAGCCACAGAACAGCAGUGUUCUGUUCUGAGUGGAGCUGCCUGCACCCAGAUUGUCUGGUUGCUGAAGAAAAGCUGGUUUCUGGGGAGCUCUGCCAUCACCGCAUCUUCUGGGAGCUACUACACAGCCGGCUGGCAAACACUGCUGGAAUCCAGAGAGGGUUUCCACUUUCUCUGGAUGGAUGUGGUACAGGGAAGGUAAUUUUUCUCUUCCCUUUGUGGGUGCACAGCAGUGCUGGAAGGCAGGAGGAGACCCCGACACUGUUUGUGUGCUGCAGGAAAGUGCAGCCUUUUUGGCAUCCAAGUGAAAAUGUUGGCUUUUGAAUGCAGGUUUGGAAGUGCUGUUGUUAGAUACCCUUUUGUCUUUCCUAUUGCUCAGAGGAGGACUGCUGCUCUGCCCUGCAAUGACCUGUUUCUGCAAUAUUUUCUGCCCAAGCAAUAAUAAAACCAGAGAGAGGGAGAAAUGUAGGCAGUGAUAAAUGCAUUUUAGCAGCACAGAUGGUAUCUGUGGCAUCAGAUCUCCUUUCUAAGGCCUCUUGUCCGUAGCUUGCCCACCAGGUGUCCCUCUAGGUGGGAUCCCCACCCCUCCAUGCUGGGUGCUCCCACACUGCCUCGGGCCCCAGCUGCUACUUCUGCUGAGCGUAGGGUACCCUCCAUUUCCCUGGCAAGGGGCAUGUUUUCCUUGUGAGCUCUCCACGCUUUGUUCAUGCAAAUGAAAUCAUUUUAUUCUGACGGAGGGCUCUGAGCUGCAGCCAGCUUAUUGUUUUAGAAAUAAAGAUAUUAGUAUGCAAAUGACUUUGGAAGGUGUUUCUUCUCAUUAGAGAAUGGAGAUCAUUUGAUAAAGGGUGCAGUGCUCUUCAUCAGUAAAAAGGCUCAGCAAAUUUGUCUUGUCUCAACAGCAUUCUAACUACGAGACCGAUCGGAUAAUGCAGAAAAGAAAGCACAGGAGACAAAUGGUUUAUGACACUCCGGUUACCUUUACUGUGCAAGGUGGGCGUGAAAUUUUUUAUGGUGAGACAAAAAAGAUGAUGGGCAAUUAACUACAAACUCUUGCAGCAGGUUUAUCAUAUGCUCGGCUCAUCCAUCUGUGUCUCAGUCUCCGGUGGACUCAUGAGUUUCAUCAAGAAAACCAUUUUCAAACCAGCAGACCAAAACAGAUCGUUUUCAACUCCCAGCCUCAUCGAGGCUUUGCAGUAGUUUUGCCUCGUGUUUACGAUUUAUGGAUGCAACAGGAACACAGAGCAGACAGAAGAUCUCCCCAUUGCAGGGUGUUGCCUUCAAACACUGCUCAUUCAGUGACCAUUAACCUUGCAAGAAGAAUCAGCAAGCAGAUGUUCCGUUACAAUAGGAACAAAUGGUAAAUGAUGGCAUUAAAGGUAACUUUCCAUUACUUUUGGUGAUGUGAACCAGAACUACUUUUAAAUAAUGACUGGCACCAGCCAAUAAAAACAGAAAUCUUUACCCAAGAAUGAGCAGUAAUUGCUGUGAUUUUGCUGAGAAAUGAGACCUCCUAUAAGAGAGAAACGUGGUUUUGAACAUGGAGGAAAAAGCAGGAGUUCAUUUCAGGGAAGUCCUAAUUCUUUAUGGACGUUUUCUCCCUAGCUUCCUGCAAAACAGGGUUACUACACUUGCUUAUUGUCAGGGUAAUUACUUCAAAUGGAAUUGGAGAUUAAAAGCGGACAUCCAGCACUGCACCCUUUACCUUCCCUGCCCCUUCCAUGCAACUACAGGGCUGGGAUCAUUUCCUCCAGAAACACUUGGUGGAAAUAUCUCGGAUGUACCAAUGUCUGGGAAGGGAACAUCGUAUUUUCAGCAUUUCUUCUGCGCCUCUCAGCUACCCCAUGCCACCGAGGAUGGAGCCAACCACCAACACUGCUGCCAAAGCAAUGAAUUCUUUCAUCAGCUCCUAAGUGCCAUCAGUGCUCACGUGUCAUACGGCCUCAGCACUCCGUGUUCAGCCCUAACGUGAGUGCUUGGCUAUUUGCAGUGCACCAAAAUCAAUAGGCUGGGAAUGAGUCACGUUAACUCACGUUUUGUUUUUGCUGUGUAGAAUUCUCUUUCACCAAAGGAACUUCAGCUCUGCGACAAAAAGUCGUUGCUGACGCACUUUAAUUAAAAUGGAGGGCUGGCUUGAAGAUUGCUUCCAUGUUAACACGCGGCAGUAACACGAUGGAAGUGAAAAAGCACAGAGAAGUUGGGAAGAGAAGGGAGAAAUAAAUGCUGUCUGUACUACGAAAAUUUGCCUCUACGUUAAUUCUUGGAGACAAAUUCAAUUUGACCAGCUUCAGAAUCCAAGCAGGUUACUUUGGGAAAUGUCCUACCUGAGAAAUUCCUUGAAGGUACAGAUCCAUUGGAAGUGCUCUUGUAAUUACUGUUAUGUUGUUGCCUCUAUGCUGGAGCAUGGGACUGUGUUCACAUCAUCAUUCCUUAUGCUGCAAGUUCAAUAGUGUC
Non-coding RNA from Meleagris gallopavo (turkey), 2500 nucleotides. NCBI's taxonomy places the organism in Eukaryota, Metazoa, Chordata, Aves, Galliformes, Phasianidae. The record is from RefSeq and is a predicted model, not a curated record.